This is a long non-coding RNA of Pezoporus occidentalis (night parrot), 810 nucleotides long. RefSeq lists it as uncharacterized. The transcript is spliced from 2 exons. The record is from RefSeq and is a predicted model, not a curated record. NCBI's taxonomy places the organism in Eukaryota, Metazoa, Chordata, Aves, Psittaciformes, Psittacidae.
GCCGCGGCUGCGCCCGGUACUCAGGUGAGUUUGACGUGCCACGGGAACCGCACCGACCCGCUCCUGGGGCCACGCCGUGCCACAGGACCCUGGCCCCUGGGCUCGCGUUUACAAGCGCUAAAGCAACAACUUGGUCACGGAGUUAAUUCAAAUCCUUAAGGCUACCACAAGCUUCCUUUGCGAAACUUUCACUUCCUCUCUGCUUCGUGUGUCUUCUGUAGGUCCCUUCUUACAGCAUAACCCAUCUCUUCCCAGAUAGAUACCCAGGAAGACCCCAUCACCUGUGACCAGACACAAAUGCGAUUUUCAAAGCCGACUGGAUCAUUUGUUUCUCCAGUACAGUGAAGUUUCUGAAACCUGGAAAUCUUACACCCCUCGCACCAAAUCUGUGUUUUCAUCUUCCUGUUCCCUCACGGGCCUCACAAAGUGUGCUUCUGGCUUUUUCUGUCGAGUAAGCACAUAAGGCAAUGAAGUCCCUAGUAGCUUUGCAGCUCAUGAUGUGUAACAGUGAGCUGCUCAGAGAAGCAUUACUUAAAGCUCUCCCUGUUUAUAAGCUGGAUGGGGGGGAAAUGAGUACAAAAAUAAAGGUUGCAACAGAAAAUGCCCACAAAAUUAAAUCACCAUACCCUAUUCAGUUACAGGGAUUCAGCAUUUCUUUGCCUUGCAAGAAGCAGCGCCCAUGGCUACAGCAGAGUUAGAAUGGUAUUCAGCCACUUUUGUCACAAAGACCAUUUCAAUACCUUAGCUAGAUAAUAUCUUCUAUUCUACAAUUAACCAGCACAAAAAAAAAAACCCCAACAACAUACAAAA